AGCGCUGUAGUGCAGCGGCCAAGCGCACCGCGAGGCGUAGGGUUCGAGUCCCGCCAAUAGGCAAGUGGCCCCGCCCGCAGUAACGCCGGUUCGAAUCCGGCCAGCGCAC
This 109-nucleotide transfer RNA is filed under the name Glutamicibacter nicotianae. RNAcentral's name for it is "tRNA-OTHER". It matches the Rfam family "tRNA". Rfam says of the family: Transfer RNA (tRNA) molecules are approximately 80 nucleotides in length. Their secondary structure includes four short double-helical elements and three loops (D, anti-codon, and T loops). Further hydrogen bonds mediate the characteristic L-shaped molecular structure. tRNAs have two regions of fundamental functional importance: the anti-codon, which is responsible for specific mRNA codon recognition, and the 3' end, to which the tRNAs corresponding amino acid is attached (by aminoacyl-tRNA synthetases). tRNAs cope with the degeneracy of the genetic code in two manners: having more than one tRNA (with a specific anti-codon) for a particular amino acid; and 'wobble' base-pairing, i.e. permitting non-standard base-pairing at the 3rd anti-codon position. Lineage: Bacteria; Bacillati; Actinomycetota; Actinomycetes; Micrococcales; Micrococcaceae. The record is from RNAcentral.